GACGAACCCUGGCGGCGUGCUUAACACAUGCAAGUCGAACGGAAAGGCCCUGCUUUUGUGGGGUGCUCGAGUGGCGAACGGGUGAGUAACACGUGAGUAACCUGCCCUUGACUUUGGGAUAACUUCAGGAAACUGGGGCUAAUACCGGAUAGGAGCUCCUGCUGCAUGGUGGGGGUUGGAAAGUUUCGGCGGUUGGGGAUGGACUCGCGGCUUAUCAGCUUGUUGGUGGGGUAGUGGCUUACCAAGGCUUUGACGGGUAGCCGGCCUGAGAGGGUGACCGGCCACAUUGGGACUGAGAUACGGCCCAGACUCCUACGGGAGGCAGCAGUGGGGAAUAUUGCACAAUGGGCGGAAGCCUGAUGCAGCAACGCCGCGUGCGGGAUGACGGCCUUCGGGUUGUAAACCGCUUUCGCCUGUGACGAAGCGUGAGUGACGGUAAUGGGUAAAGAAGCACCGGCUAACUACGUGCCAGCAGCCGCGGUGAUACGUAGGGUGCGAGCGUUGUCCGGAUUUAUUGGGCGUAAAGGGCUCGUAGGUGGUUGAUCGCGUCGGAAGUGUAAUCUUGGGGCUUAACCCUGAGCGUGCUUUCGAUACGGGUUGACUUGAGGAAAGGUAGGGGAGAAUGGAAUUCCUGGUGGAGCGGUGGAAUGCGCAGAUAUCAGGAGGAACACCAGUGGCGAAGGCGGUUCUCUGGGCCUUUCCUGACGCUGAGGAGCGAAAGCGUGGGGAGCGAACAGGCUUAGAUACCCUGGUAGUCCACGCUGUAAACGGUGGGUACUAGGUGUGGGGUCCAUUCCACGGGUUCCGUGCCGUAGCUAACGCUUUAAGUACCCCGCCUGGGGAGUACGGCCGCAGGGCUAAAACUCAAAGGAAUUGACGGGGCCCCGCACAAGCGGCGGAGCAUGCGGAUUAAUUCGAUGCAACGCGUAGAACCUUACCUGGGUUUGACAUGGAUCGGGAGUGCUCAGAGAUGGGUGUGCCUCUUUUGGGGUCGGUUCACAGGUGGUGCAUGGCUGUCGUCAGCUCGUGUCGUGAGAUGUUGGGUUAAGUCCCGCAACGAGCGCAACCCUUGUUCACUGUUGCCAGCACGUUAUGGUGGGGACUUAGUGGAGACCGCCGGGGUCAACUCGGAGGAAGGUGGGGAUGACGUCAAGUCAUCAUGCCCCUUAUGUCCAGGGCUUCACGCAUGCUACAAUGGCUGGUACAGAGAGUGGCGAGCCUGUGAGGGUGAGCGAAUCUCGGAAAGCCGGUCUCAGUUCGGAUUGGGGUCUGCAACUCGACCUCAUGAAGUCGGAGUCGCUAGUAAUCGCAGAUCAGCAACGCUGCGGUGAAUACGUUCCCGGG
RNAcentral lists this ribosomal RNA (1344 nucleotides) under uncultured bacterium. Its description in RNAcentral is "16S ribosomal RNA". It matches the Rfam family "Bacterial small subunit ribosomal RNA", at positions 28 to 1378 of the family's 1533-position model. The record is from RNAcentral.